Onychomys torridus (southern grasshopper mouse) is the source of this 103-nucleotide small nuclear RNA. The record is from RefSeq and is a predicted model, not a curated record. Lineage: Eukaryota; Metazoa; Chordata; Mammalia; Rodentia; Cricetidae.
GCUCGCUUCAGCAGCAUAUACCAAAAUUGGAAUGAUACACAGAAGAUUAGCAUGGCCCCUGCACAAGGAUGACAUGCAAAUACAUGUAGUGUUCCAUAUUAAA